CCUACGGGUGUCAGCAGUAAGGAAUUUUCGGCAAUGGGGGGAACCCUGACCGAGCAAAGCCGCGUGAACGAAGAAGUAUUUCGGUAUGUAAAGUUCUUUUAUUGUAGAAGAAAGAGAAAUUUGACGGUAACCAAUGAAUAAGCUCCGGCUAACUACGUGCCAGCAGCCGCGGUAAUACGUAGGGAGCGUGCGUUAUCCGGAAUUAUUGGGCGUAAAGGGUGGUGAGAUGGUUUAUAUAAGUCUUUUGUAAACAGGCUAGGCUCAACCUAGUAGGGCAAAAGAGACUGACGAACAUGAGUACGGCAGAGGCAAGUGGAACUACAUGUGUAGCGGUAAAAUGCGUAAAUAUAUGUAAGAACAACGGUGGCGAAGGCGGCUUGCUGGGCCUGUACUGACAUUGAGGCACGAAAGCGUGGGGAGCAAACAGGAUUAGAUACCCCAGUAGUC
RNAcentral lists this ribosomal RNA (447 nucleotides) under uncultured bacterium. RNAcentral's name for it is "partial 16S ribosomal RNA". It matches the Rfam family "Bacterial small subunit ribosomal RNA", at positions 338 to 795 of the family's 1533-position model. The record is from RNAcentral.